UAACACUAACUGGAGGACCGAACCGACUAAUGUUGAAAAAUUAGCGGAUGACUUGUGGCUGGGGGUGAAAGGCCAAUCAAACCGGGAGAUAGCUGGUUCUCCCCGAAAGCUAUUUAGGUAGCGCCUCGUGAAUUCAUCUCCGGGGGUAGAGCACUGUUUCGGCAAGGGGGUCAUCCCGACUUACCAACCCGAUGCAAACUGCGAAUACCGGAGAAUGUUAUCACGGGAGACACACGGCGGGUGCUAACGUCCGUCGUGAAGAGGGAAACAACCCAGACCGCCAGCUAAGGUCCCAAAGUCAUGGUUAAGUGGGAAACGAUGUGGGAAGGCCCAGACAGCCAGGAUGUUGGCUUAGAAGCAGCCAUCAUUUAAAGAAAGCGUAAUAGCUCACUGGUCGAGUCGGCCUGCGCGGAAGAUGUAACGGGGCUAAACCAUGCACCGAAGCUGCGGCAGCGACGCUUAUGCGUUGUUGGGUAGGGGAGCGUUCUGUAAGCCUGUGAAGGUGGCCUGUGAGGGUUGCUGGAGGUAUCAGAAGUGCGAAUGCUGACAUAAGUAACGAUAAAGCGGGUGAAAAGCCCGCUCGCCGGAAGACCAAGGGUUCCUGUCCAACGUUAAUCGGGGCAGGGUGAGUCGACCCCUAAGGCGAGGCCGAAAGGCGUAGUCGAUGGGAAACAGGUUAAUAUUCCUGUACUUGGUGUUACUGCGAAGGGGGGACGGAGAAGGCUAUGUUGGCCGGGCGACGGUUGUCCCGGUUUAAGCGUGUAGGCUGGUUUUCCAGGCAAAUCCGGAAAAUCAAGGCUGAGGCGUGAUGACGAGGCACUACGGUGCUGAAGCGACAAAUGCCCUGCUUCCAGGAAAAGCCUCUAAGCAUCAGGUAACAUUAAAUCGUACCCCAAACCGACACAGGUGGUCAGGUAGAGAAUACCAAGGCGCUUGAGAGAACUCGGGUGAAGGAACUAGGCAAAAUGGUGCCGUAACUUCGGGAGAAGGCACGCUGAUAUGUAGGUGAAGCGACUUGCUCGUGGAGCUGAAAUCAGUCGAAGAUACCAGCUGGCUGCAACUGUUUAUUAAAAACACAGCACUGUGCAAACACGAAAGUGGACGUAUACGGUGUGACGCCUGCCCGGUGCCGGAAGGUUAAUUGAUGGGGUUAGCGGUAACGCGAAGCUCUUGAUCGAAGCCCCGGUAAACGGCGGCCGUAACUAUAACGGUCCUAAGGUAGCGAAAUUCCUUGUCGGGUAAGUUCCGACCUGCACGAAUGGCGUAAUGAUGGCCAGGCUGUCUCCACCCGAGACUCAGUGAAAUUGAACUCGCUGUGAAGAUGCAGUGUACCCGCGGCAAGACGGAAAGACCCCGUGAACCUUUACUAUAGCUUGACACUGAACAUUGAGCCUUGAUGUGUAGGAUAGGUGGGAGGCUUUGAAGUGUGGACGCCAGUCUGCAUGGAGCCGACCUUGAAAUACCACCCUUUAAUGUUUGAUGUUCUAACGUGGGCCCCUUACCGGGGUUGCGGACAGUGUCUGGUGGGUAGUUUGACUGGGGCGGUCUCCUCCUAAAGAGUAACGGAGGAGCACGAAGGUUGGCUAAUCCUGGUCGGACAUCAGGAGGUUAGUGCAAUGGCAUAAGCCAGCUUGACUGCGAGCGUGACGGCGCGAGCAGGUGCGAAAGCAGGUCAUAGUGAUCCGGUGGUUCUGAAUGGAAGGGCCAUCGCUCAACGGAUAAAAGGUACUCCGGGGAUAACAGGCUGAUACCGCCCAAGAGUUCAUAUCGACGGCGGUGUUUGGCACCUCGAUGUCGGCUCAUCACAUCCUGGGGCUGAAGUAGGUCCCAAGGGUAUGGCUGUUCGCCAUUUAAAGUGGUACGCGAGCUGGGUUUAGAACGUCGUGAGACAGUUCGGUCCCUAUCUGCCGUGGGCGCUGGAGAACUGAGGGGGGCUGCUCCUAGUACGAGAGGACCGGAGUGGACGCAUCACUGGUGUUCGGGUUGUCAUGCCAAUGGCACUGCCCGGUAGCUAAAUGCGGAAGAGAUAAGUGCUGAAAGCAUCUAAGCACGAAACUUGCCCCGAGAUGAGUUCUCCCUGACUCCUUGAGAGUCCUGAAGGAACGUUGAAGACGACGACGUUGAUAGGCCGGGUGUGUAAGCGCAGCGAUGCGUUGAGCUAACCGGUACUAAUGAACCGUGAGGCUUAACCUUA
This 2194-nucleotide ribosomal RNA is filed under the name Escherichia coli. RNAcentral describes it as "partial 23S ribosomal RNA". It matches the Rfam family "Bacterial large subunit ribosomal RNA", at positions 757 to 2925 of the family's 2925-position model. The record is from RNAcentral. Lineage: Bacteria; Pseudomonadati; Pseudomonadota; Gammaproteobacteria; Enterobacterales; Enterobacteriaceae.